GUAGAGAUGGCUUACUGGUUGAGAGCACUGGCUGUUCUUCCAGAGGUCCUGGGUUCAAUUCCUAGCACUUACA
This is a non-coding RNA of Rattus norvegicus (Norway rat), 73 nucleotides long. Lineage: Eukaryota; Metazoa; Chordata; Mammalia; Rodentia; Muridae. The record is from Rfam.